GUUGCAGAAUCCACAGCGACAAAGUACAAGUAUUGGGUUGUCUGGAUGCAGCUCAAGGCAGUAUAACCAUCGCCCUGGUCUCUCACAAUGUGCACAAAAUAGGCUGCCAUUGGAUAUAUCACAGACAAACUCCGACCUGAAUGAUGUAUUGGAUUCAGCGCCUAAUCAAGGUUUCGAAGAUGCAACCACACAAAGGG
Long non-coding RNA from Xiphophorus couchianus (Monterrey platyfish), 197 nucleotides. RefSeq lists it as uncharacterized. The transcript is spliced from 4 exons. Lineage: Eukaryota; Metazoa; Chordata; Actinopteri; Cyprinodontiformes; Poeciliidae. The record is from RefSeq and is a predicted model, not a curated record.